GGACGAACGCUGGCGGCGUGGAUUAGGCACGCAAGUCGAACGGUAUAAACCUUUCGGGGUUUAGAGAGUGGCGAACGGGUGAGUAACACGUAGGUAAUCUACCCUCAAAACGGGGACAACCCAGGGAAACUUGGGCUAAUACCGGAUGCGUGCAAACAAUGUUUUGGCUGCUGUAAUUGUUCACGGAAGUGAAUAGUUAUGAGAGUUUAGAGCAUAAUUUGCAUAAAAGAUGGCGUAAGCUGUCGUUUGAGGAUGAGCCUGCGUCCUAUUAGUUAGUUGGUGAGGUAAUAGCUUACCAAGGCGAUGAUAGGUAGGCGGCCUUAACGGGUGGUCGCCCACACUGGGAUUGAGAUACGGCCCAGACUCCUACGGGAGGCAGCAGUCGAGAAUAGUCUACAAUGGACGAAAGUCUGAUAGUGCGACGCCGCGUGAACGAAGAAUCCUUUCGGGGUGUAAAGUUCUUUUCUAUGUGAGCAGUUCCUUUUAUAUGAAGAGUAUAGGAGGCGGGAUUUAAGCAUAGGAAUAAGCAACGGCUAACUCCGUGCCAGCAGCCGCGGUAACACGGGGGUUGCAAGCGUUGUCCGGAAUUACUAGGCGUAAAGUGCAGGUAGGCGGAUAGAUAAGUUUAAGGUUAAAGGCUACGGCUUAACCGUAGUAAGGCGUUAGAUACUGUUUAUCUGGAAUGCGGNNGAGGGAGACAGAAUUCCUGGUGUAGCGGUGGAAUGCGCAGAGAUCAGGAGGAAUACCGAAGGCGAAGGCAGUCUUCUAAGCCGAANNUGACGCUAAACUGCGAAGGUGUGGGGAUCAAACAGGAUUAGAUACCCUGGUAGUCCACACAGUAAACGAUAAUCACUAGGUGUUGGGUUCGUAUAGGACUCGGUGCCGGAGCUAACGCGAUAAGUGAUUCGCCUGGGGAGUACGAUCGCAAGGUUGAAACUCAAAGGAAUUGACGGGGGCCCGCACAAGCGGUGGAGCAUGUGGUUUAAUUCGACGCAACGCGAAGAACCUUACCUGGGCUUGACAUGUAGUGGAAAGCGGUAUGAAAGUACUGCCCUUGUUGUAGCAAUACAACAACCGCUAUGCAGGUGGUGCAUGGUUGUCGUCAGCUCGUGUCGUGAGAUGUAAGGUUAAGUCCUUAAACGAGCGCAACCCCUGCCACUAGUUGCCACCGGUUCGGCCGGGCACUCUAGUGGGACCGCUAGUGAUAAACUAGAGGAAGGUGGGGAUGACGUCAAAUCCUCACGCCCCUUAUGUCCAGGGCUACACACAUGCGACAAUGGUAGGGACAGCAGGAUGCGACGAGGUAACUCUGAGCUAAUCCUCAAACCCUGCCCCAGUACAGAUCGAGGGCUGCAACCCGCCCUCGUGAAGAUGGAGUUGCUAGUAAACGCAGGUCAGCUAUACUGCGUUGAAUACGUUCCCGGGCCU
This 1428-nucleotide ribosomal RNA is filed under the name uncultured bacterium. Its description in RNAcentral is "bacterial SSU rRNA". It matches the Rfam family "Bacterial small subunit ribosomal RNA", at positions 27 to 1381 of the family's 1533-position model. The record is from RNAcentral.